UGCUCGUUAGUAUAGUGGUCAGUAUCUCCGCCUGUCACGCGGAAGACCGGGGUUCGAUUCCCCGACGGGUUG
RNAcentral lists this transfer RNA (72 nucleotides) under Danionella translucida. It matches the Rfam family "tRNA". Rfam says of the family: Transfer RNA (tRNA) molecules are approximately 80 nucleotides in length. The record is from Rfam by way of RNAcentral. Lineage: Eukaryota; Metazoa; Chordata; Actinopteri; Cypriniformes; Danionidae. RNAcentral also lists the same sequence under 1 other name.